Molecule: ribosomal RNA, 484 nt
Filed under: uncultured bacterium
Lineage: Bacteria
Description: partial 16S ribosomal RNA
Rfam family: Bacterial small subunit ribosomal RNA
Source: RNAcentral
AUCGAACGCUGGCGGCAGGCCUAACACAUGCAAGUCGAGCGGAUGAAGGGAGCUUGCUCCUGGAUUCAGCGGCGGACGGGUGAGUAAUGCCUAGGAAUCUGCCUGGUAGUGGGGGAUAACGUCCUCAAACGGGCGCUAAUACCGCAUACGUCCUGAGCGAGAAAGUGGGGGAUCUUCGGACCUCUCGCUUUCAUAUGAGCCUAGGUCGGAUUAGCUAGUUGGUUGGGUAAAGGCCUACCAAGGCGACGAUCCGUAACUGGUCUGAGAGGAUGAUCAGUCACACUGGAACUGAGACACGGUCCAGACUCCUACGGGAGGCAGCAGUGGGGAAUAGUGGACAGAGGGCGAAAGCCUGAUCCAGCCAUGCCGAGUGUGUGAAGAAGGUCUUCGGAUUGUAAAGCACUUUAAGUUGGGAGGAAGGGCAGUAAGUUAAUACCUUGCUGUUUUGACGUUACCAACAGAAUAAGCACCGGCUAACUUCGUG